Molecule: ribosomal RNA, 1347 nt
Filed under: metagenome
Description: bacterial SSU rRNA
Rfam family: Archaeal small subunit ribosomal RNA
Source: RNAcentral
AGUAACACGUCGAUAAUCUGCCUUUAGGACUGGGAUAGCCUUGGAAAACUGAGGGUAAUACCGGAUAAGGGAAAAAAAGUGGAACAUUUUUUCCUCGAAAGCUACGGUACCUAAAGAUGAGUCGGCGGCUGAUUAGGUAGUUGGCGAGGUAAUGGCUCACCAAGCCUAAGAUCAGUAGGGGCCUUGAGAGAGGUAGCCUCGAGAAGGGUACUGAUAUACUGACCCUAGCCCUACGGGGUGCAGCAGGCGCGAAACCCUUACAUGCACGUAAGUGUGAUAAGGGAAUCCUAAGUGCUUUACUUAUGUAAGGCUUUUUUUAAGAGCAAAAAUCUUGGAGAAUAAGUGGUGGGUAAGACUGGUGCCAGCAGCCGCGGUAACCCCAGCGCCACAAGUUGCAAUCGAUAUUAUUGGGCCUAAAGCGUCCGUAGCCGGCUGGAUGAAUCUUUUGUGAAAUUGUUGCGCUCAACGUAACAGCGUGCAGAAGACACUAUCCAGCUUGGAACCGGGAGGAGUUAGAGGUAUUGAUGGGGUAGCGGUAAAAUGCUAUAAUCCCAUUAGGACCACCUGUGGCGAAGGCGUCUAACUAGAACGGAUUCGACGGUGAGGGACGAAAGCUAGGGGAGCAAUCCGGAUUAGAUACCCGAGUAGUCCUAGCUGUAAACGCUGCGAGCAAAGUGUUACAGAUUCUUUGCGAAUCAGUGGUGUUGAAAUGAAGAUGUUAAGCUCGCCGCCUGGGAAGUACGGUCGCAAGACAGAAACUUAAAGGAAUUGGCGGGGGAGCACCACAAGGGGUGCGGCGUGCGGUUUAAUCGAACUCAACGCCGAAAAUCUCACCAGGAGCGACGGCAGGAUGAAAGUCGGAUUGAAGGUCUUACUUGACGAGCCGAGAGGUAGUGCAUGGCCGUCGUCAGCUCGUGCCGUAAGGUGUCCUGUUAAGUCAGGCAACGAGCGAGACCUGUACCUACAAUUGCUAACAACUCUUAACGAGGAUUGAGCACAUUGUAGGGACUGCCUGUGAAAACAGGAGGAAGGUGCAGGCUACGGUAGGUCAGUAUGCUCCGAAUCUCUUGGGCUACACGCGCGCAACAAUGGUAGGGACAAUGGGAUACAACUCCGAAAGGAGAAGUUAAUCCUCUAAACCCUAUCUUAGUCCAGAUUGAGGGCUGUAAUUCGCCCUCAUGACGAUGGAAUCCCUAGUAAUCAGACGUCACUAUCGUCUGGUGAAUAUGUCCCUGCUCCUUGCACACACCGCCCGUCAAACCAACCGAGCAGUGUUUUGAUGAGGGUUUAUUUUCUUGAUAAAUCCGAAUCUAAGCUCAGUGAGGUGGGUUAAGUCGUCACAAGGUA